RNAcentral lists this long non-coding RNA (270 nucleotides) under Gossypium barbadense (sea-island cotton). Its description in RNAcentral is "long non-coding RNA (GBAR_LNC020836)". Lineage: Eukaryota; Viridiplantae; Streptophyta; Magnoliopsida; Malvales; Malvaceae. The record is from RNAcentral.
CCCAACCUUACAAAUUGACAUCGUAGAGCCUUUAUCAUUUUCCGUAGUAUCUUUGUCAUAUCGUUUUUAGUUGUUUAUUUAUUCAUCUACAUAUUAUUUACGUAGUUAUUCUCGUAAUUGUCGUUGCAUUUUUACUCUUACUUUGCCUUAGCAUUUCCCAAUAUUAGUCAGUAUACAUUUUGCACACAUCAUUGGUCUUUUAAUUUACCACUACAUACUUAACUUGGUUUUUCUGUAGCAUUAAUCGUAAUUCAUUAUAAUAACUUAACC